Molecule: ribosomal RNA, 582 nt
Filed under: uncultured fungus
Lineage: Eukaryota; Fungi
Description: SSU rRNA
Rfam family: Eukaryotic small subunit ribosomal RNA
Source: RNAcentral
GAAACUGCGAAUGGCUCAUUAAAUCAGUUAUCGUUUAUUUGAUAGUACCUUACUACUUGGAUAACCGUGGUAAUUCUAGAGCUAAUACAUGCUAAAAACCUCGACUUCGGAAGGGGUGUAUUUAUUAGAUAAAAAACCAAUGCCCUUCGGGGCUCCUUGGUGAUUCAUAAUAACUUAACGAAUCGCAUGGCCUUGUGCCGGCGAUGGUUCAUUCAAAUUUCUGCCCUAUCAACUUUCGAUGGUAAGGUCUUGGCUUACCAUGGUCUCAACGGGUAACGGGGAAUUAGGGUUCUAUUCCGGAGAGGGAGCCUGAGAAACGGCUACCACAUCCAAGGAAGGCAGCAGGCGCGCAAAUUACCCAAUCCCGAUUCGGGGAGGUAGUGACAAUAAAUACUGAUACGGGGCUCUUUUGGGUCUCGUAAUUGGAAUGAGUACAAUCUAAAUCCCUUAACGAGGAACAAUUGGAGGGCAAGUCUGGUGCCAGCAGCCGCGGUAAUUCCAGCUCCAAUAGCGUAUAUUAAAGUUGUUGCCGUUAAAAAGCUCGUAGUUGAACCUUGGGCCUGGCUGACCUGUCCUCCUAAU